UCCGUAGGUGAACCUGCGGAAGGAUCAUUUUAGUAUCUUAUGUUGCCUGCGCUUUAACUAGCGCGGCGACUAAAACCUUACACACAGUGCUUAGUUUUUUCUAACAUUGCUUUGCGUGGAAUAAGCCUAGCUUUUCUGCGCAGAGGUUAUCAAAACACAAGAUUUUUAUAUCUUUUAUUACAAAUUCUAGUCAAGAAGUUUUAUUAAAAACAAAUCUUCAAAACUUUCAACAACGGAUCUCUUGGUUCUCGCAUCGAUGAAGAACGCAGC
This 270-nucleotide unclassified non-coding RNA is filed under the name uncultured Cyberlindnera. Its description in RNAcentral is "sequence contains 18S rRNA gene, ITS1 and 5.8S rRNA gene". The stretch from base 222 to 270 matches the Rfam family "5.8S ribosomal RNA", at positions 1 to 49 of the family's 154-position model. Lineage: Eukaryota; Fungi; Ascomycota; Saccharomycetes; Phaffomycetales; Phaffomycetaceae. The record is from RNAcentral.